ACAUAUGUAUCCUGACAAAACCUUAUCAGGACAAAAAACGUGGUUUUUAAUAAGCUCUUUUUUGGCUAUUGGAUUAUACCAACAACCCAGAUUAGUUUUCCUAUAUCUGAAAUUCCCUCCAACAAAACUUUGUGCGCUUCCCUUCGCAUCCCAGACACCAUCAUCCAACUCCCAAAUACAACACCAGAUAGAAGUUGAAGGAAACCUAUCCAUCUGCAAUCGCCAGUGCCUCCGUUGAUAUCGAAGAAGUACCCAUCAAAGGAGAAAGAGGAAAUACCCAUCGACAGAGAAAAACCCAUCAAAGGAAGAACUCAUCUCCAAUGGUGGGAAGCAAAGCCUUGUCAUGAUGGGAAGCGAUUUGAGCAUCAAUGGAUUUCGAACAGGUUUAAGUGUUGAUAUUUAUGGCAAUCAAAGUUCUGCUCUAUGUGAUUAUGAUGGGUUUGAACGGAAGGGCUGGGUUUCAAACUAACACGCUUCUUCUCCUUCAAUGGUGGCUCUAGUUGAUUUCAAUGGGCUUCGAAUGGACAUGCUUCUUCUCCGUCAAUGGUGACUUUGGUAGAUUUUAAUGGCCGAUGGAUGUCGUGGAUGAUUGGGUCUAGGACAUGAAGGGAAGGGAAUUUCAAAUUUGGAGAAGCCAAAAUCCAUUGGUUUAAUCCAAUGACCAAAAAGAGAGCUUAUUAAAAAAUCACUUUUUUUUAUUCUGAUGAGGUUUUGUCAGGAUGUUCUGACCAUAGAACCUUUGUGGAUUUAAAAUAUAUAUCUAUAUCUAUAUUUCUUAGGACUAUUUGGAUGGAACUAUGUGCGGACCAGAGAAAAACCGAUGCUACAUAAGAAAAAAACGUCAGUUUUUUACUCAGAGAAAAAGCCAACGAUACACGAAAAAAAAAACAUCGGCUUUUCUAAAAACAUCGGCUUUUCUAAAAAUAUCGGCUUUGCUUAGGCUUUGCUUCGGCUUUAUUCUUGGUCCGCAUGCAACUCCAUCAGAACGGUCCUAACCAUAGAAUCCUCCUAUAUAUAUUUAUUUAUAUAUAUUAUUGUAAGUAAUUUGAAUUCAAUAUUAUUUAAAUUUUUAAUUAAAUAUUUAAAAAUAUUUUUAAAAAAUUAUGUAUA
Ziziphus jujuba (common jujube) is the source of this 1110-nucleotide long non-coding RNA. RefSeq lists it as uncharacterized. NCBI's taxonomy places the organism in Eukaryota, Viridiplantae, Streptophyta, Magnoliopsida, Rosales, Rhamnaceae. The record is from RefSeq and is a predicted model, not a curated record. The transcript has 2 exons.